Molecule: ribosomal RNA, 274 nt
Filed under: uncultured bacterium
Lineage: Bacteria
Description: partial 16S ribosomal RNA
Rfam family: Bacterial small subunit ribosomal RNA
Source: RNAcentral
AUACGGAGGGUGCAAGCGUUAAUCGGAAUUACUGGGCGUAAAGCGUACGUAGGCGGUUCGUUAAGUUAGAUGUGAAAGCCCCGGGCUUAACCUGGGAACUGCAUUUAAAACUGGCGAACUAGAGUUGAGUAGAGGGGAGUGGAAUUUCAGGUGUAGUGGUGAAAUGCGUAGAGAUCUGAAGGAACACCAGUGGCGAAGGCGGCUCCCUGGACUCAAACUGACGCUGAGGUACGAAAGCGUGGGUAGCAAACGGGAUUAGAAACCCUAGUAGUCC